RNAcentral lists this unclassified non-coding RNA (353 nucleotides) under soil metagenome. Its description in RNAcentral is "partial contains 5.8S ribosomal RNA, internal transcribed spacer 2, and large subunit ribosomal RNA". The stretch from base 1 to 120 matches the Rfam family "5.8S ribosomal RNA", at positions 35 to 154 of the family's 154-position model. The record is from RNAcentral.
GAUGAAGAACGCAGCGAAAUGCGAUAAGUAAUGUGAAUUGCAGAAUUCAGUGAAUCAUCGAAUCUUUGAACGCACAUUGCGCCCGCCAGUAUUCUGGCGGGCAUGCCUGUUCGAGCGUCAUUACAACCCUCAGGCCCCCGGGCCUGGCGUUGGGGAUCGGCGGAGCCCCCCGUGGGCACACGCCGUCCCCCAAAUGCAGUGGCGGUCCCGCCGCAGCUUCCAUCGCGUAGUAGCUAACACCUCGCGACUGGAGAGCGGCGCGGCCACGCCGUAAAACACCCAACUCUUCUGAACGUUGACCUCGAAUCAGGUAGGACUACCCGCUGAACUUAAGCAUAUCAAUAAGCGGAGGA